CGACGAGUUUGAUCCUGGCUCAGAACGAACGCUGGCGGCAGGCCUAACACAUGCAAGUCGAGCGCACCCUUCGGGGCGAGCGGCGGACGGGUUAGUAACGCGUGGGAACGUACCCUUUUCUAUGGAAUAGCCUCGGGAAACUGAGAGUAAUACCAUAUAAGCCCUUCGGGGGAAAGAUUUAUCGGGAAAGGAUCGGCCCGCGUUAGAUUAGAUAGUUGGUGGGGUAAUGGCCUACCAAGUCUACGAUCUAUAGCUGGUUUUAGAGGAUGAUCAGCAACACUGGGACUGAGACACGGCCCAGACUCCUACGGGAGGCAGCAGUGGGGAAUCUUAGACAAUGGGCGCAAGCCUGAUCUAGCCAUGCCGCGUGUGUGAUGAAGGUCUUAGGAUCGUAAAGCACUUUCGCCAGGGAUGAUAAUGACAGUACCUGGUAAAGAAACCCCGGCUAACUCCGUG
This 456-nucleotide ribosomal RNA is filed under the name uncultured bacterium. Its description in RNAcentral is "bacterial SSU rRNA". It matches the Rfam family "Bacterial small subunit ribosomal RNA", at positions 1 to 507 of the family's 1533-position model. The record is from RNAcentral.